This is a long non-coding RNA of Zonotrichia albicollis (white-throated sparrow), 739 nucleotides long. Lineage: Eukaryota; Metazoa; Chordata; Aves; Passeriformes; Passerellidae. The record is from Ensembl.
UUUUCCUUGGAGAUUGUAAGUUUUUCAGAAAGACAUGCUGGCACACACCCACGCUGCUCCCCCCCCACUGCAAUCCCUUCCCAUCCAGACUGCAGUGUGACUAGGAGCAGGAAAAACACAGAAAAUCCAUCCAUCUCAAUGGUAUUUCACAUCUAAGACUUAACCCACAAAUAAUGACUUACCCCUGGCACCUUCCAGACAUACUGAUGUUACGAAUGAAUUAACCAAGGAACAAAAUGCUUCACUGCCAACUGAGAGCUAAGCCUUGAAGUUUAGUGCUACUACUGCUAACAUAUUUCAGUUGGAUCUCAAACCAUGGUAUGAAGAGGAACUGAUACCAGCGAAGGAGACGCAUUUCUUGUCAAGAAAGAGUCUCACGAUUCCUUUGCUCCAAGGAAAUUUGAAUAAAGGAACACUUUGUUUGGAAAUGUGCCUAUUCUACUUGGACAGAGUUAAAAAAUGAGUCGAGGAAAGCAAACAGAGCUAGAAAACAUUGCAAAGAAAACUGUACUUUUGUAACUAAAAAUUCAAGUUUUUAAAAUUUCCCAUGGGACUUUUUGACCAUCCAUCCUUACUGGGACAUUACUUUUGCACUUUACCCCUGAAACUCUUGCAGGACAAGGAGUUUGUUGUGCUUGAAUGCCUUGCCCCAGCAAAUAGAGGAUUUCCCAGCCUUUAGAGACAGAAAAGGAUCUCAAACUGACCAGUUGCCAUAAUUUAUACUUUGACACUACAUGGG